ACGCUGGCGGCGUGCCUAACACAUGCAAGUCGAACGGAGUUGAGGAGCUUGCUCCUUAACUUAGUGGCGGACGGGUGAGUAACGCGUGAGUAACCUGCCUCUGAGAGGGGAAUAACGUUCUGAAAAGAACGCUAAUACCGCAUGACACAUAUUUGCCGCAUGACAGAUAUGUCAAAGAUUUUUAUCGCUCAGAGAUGGACUCGCGUCCGAUUAGUUAGUUGGUGAGGUAACGGCUCACCAAGACCGCGAUCGGUAGCCGGACUGAGAGGUUGAACGGCCACAUUGGGACUGAGACACGGCCCAGACUCCUACGGGAGGCAGCAGUGGGGGAUAUUGCGCAAUGGGGGCAACCCUGAACCGCAGCAACGCCGCGUGAAGGAUGAAGGUUUUCGGAUUGUAAACUUCUUUUCUCAGGGACGAAUUCUGACGGUACCUGAGGAAUAAGCUCCGGCUAACUACGUGCCAGCCGCUGC
This 473-nucleotide ribosomal RNA is filed under the name uncultured bacterium. Its description in RNAcentral is "bacterial SSU rRNA". It matches the Rfam family "Bacterial small subunit ribosomal RNA", at positions 33 to 518 of the family's 1533-position model. The record is from RNAcentral.